GAUGAAGAACGCAGCGAAAUGCGAUAAGUAAUGUGAAUUGCAGAAUUCAGUGAAUCAUCGAAUCUUUGAACGCACAUUGCGCCCGCCAGAAUACUGGCGGGCAUGCCUGUUCGAGCGUCAUUUCAACCAUCAAGCCCCCGGCUUGUGUUGGGGACCUGCGGCUGCCGCAGGCCCUGAAAAGCAGUGGCGGGCUCGCUGUCACACCGAGCGUAGUAGCAUACAUCUCGCUCUGGGCGUGCUGCGGGUUCCGGCCGUUAAACCACCUUCAUAACCCAAGGUUGACCUCGGAUCAGGUAGGAAGACCCGCUGAACUUAAGCAUAUCAAUAGCGGAGGA
RNAcentral lists this unclassified non-coding RNA (335 nucleotides) under soil metagenome. Its description in RNAcentral is "partial contains 5.8S ribosomal RNA, internal transcribed spacer 2, and large subunit ribosomal RNA". The stretch from base 1 to 120 matches the Rfam family "5.8S ribosomal RNA", at positions 35 to 154 of the family's 154-position model. The record is from RNAcentral.